AACGAACGCUGGCGGCAGGCCUAACACAUGCAAGUCGAACGCCGUAGCAAUACGGAGUGGCAGACGGGUGAGUAACGCGUGGGAACAUACCCCUCGGUUCGGAAUAACUCAGGGAAACUUGAGCUAAUACCGGAUACGUCCGAUGUUUUAAUUCGACCUUGGAGAAAGAUUUAUCGCCGGAGGAUUGGCCCGCGUCUGAUUAGCUUGUUGGUGAGGUAAUGGCUCACCAAGGCGACGAUCAGUAGCUGGUCUGAGAGGAUGAUCAGCCACAUUGGGACUGAGACACGGCCCAAACUACCUACGGGAGGCAGCAGUGGGGAAUAUUGGACAAUGGCGAAAGCCUGAUCCAGCCAUGCCGCGUGAGUGAUGAA
RNAcentral lists this ribosomal RNA (371 nucleotides) under uncultured bacterium. RNAcentral's name for it is "bacterial SSU rRNA". It matches the Rfam family "Bacterial small subunit ribosomal RNA", at positions 29 to 412 of the family's 1533-position model. The record is from RNAcentral.